CGUUUGCGUCUCCGCAGAGCCCGUACUUCUUGAACUUUGACUGCUUCUGAGCGGCGACGCGGGGGGAUAAUACGCAUGCGUCGUUUCUUUGCAUGGCUAGCGUCCUUAUCCUAGCGGCGGCGGGAGCUGCGGUGGCCGCGCUGCUGGCACUGCGGCUGUGGGUAGUGCUCCAUUCUCAGGUCCUGGUGCCCCGUCAGUCUCUCAGUCUCUUGGUGGUGGCUGGGUCCGGUGGGCACACCACUGAGAUCCUGAGGCUGCUUGAGAACCUGUCCAAUGCUUACUCUCCUAGACAUUAUAUCAUUGCUGAUACUGAUGAAAUGAGUGCCCAUAAAAUAAAUUCUUUUGAACUAAAUCGAGCUGAUAGAGACCCCAGUACCAUGCUUCCCGAAUACUACAUUCACCGCAUUCCCAGAAGCCGGGAGGUUCAGCAGUCCUGGCUCUCCACGGUGCUCACCACCCUGUACUCCAUGUGGGUCUCCUUUCCCUUGACUCACAGAGUAAAACCAGAUUUGAGACCAAACCCGAGACGCAGAAGCUGGAGUAAUUUGCCCUCCGUCGCACAGCUGGUUAGUGGCUGGGCCAAGGCUUGGGUUGCUACCCCUGUGAUUCCACACUCCUCCCUUCCAUGCCGCCACCCAACAAAACUGCAGAAUCCGCCCACCCCGGGGCUCUCAGAAGACAGAGGGGGUCCAGAGAAGCUGCGGGCCACCAGUGGAGUGGCUCUUCGACAGCAUCUUACGUAAUCGGCGCCGGACAGAGAAGGUAGCAGAGAGCAGUGGUGGCAAAGCUUCCCCCGAAAACAAUUACCAUGGGAAGCUGAUUCAACAGAAAAAUAUUUGAUACAAGAGUAUGACAGUUAAUCCUAGGAUUUCACUUUUUGUUCUGAACUUCUGACCCACAGCUGCUGGUGCAGCCACGGAAUAUCAAGAAGGUAACCGAACUAGAUUUUCACCCUGUCCAACAAGCAUGUGGCCAAUCAAAUAAGUCGGUCUUUGUUGACUUCCUUUAAACUCUAAAGCCAGGAAAUCACUUCUAAUAUGUGAAGACCCCCACCUUCCCUUCAAGGACAUCCUGAGGCACAGAAAUAAAAUCUAAACAAACAUCCUUUCAAUUACUCUUCAUAAUGAAACAUCCAGCAAAUUCUAGGAUGCAAGAGGUAUCCCUGAAGGAGAGUGCAAAAGAUGCAGUCCACACAAGAUCCAGAAAGGUCACUCCUGGCAUAAGCCUAAGAAAGCAAAGACCUCCGUUGUCACAAGUAGUAAGAAUUGUAUAGUGAGGUCUCUCACAGAAAAACUAAUCUGGGUCACAGGGCAAGUGCUACUGGAAUGGGACUUUUCCAGAACUAACAAGACAAUGAAGGUUGAGGUGACAGAGGCCCCUUAUGGACCGGGACCCCUUAGCAAUCCCCUGAGAUCUGGCACAGUCUACAAAGAGAAGGCUGCCUGUGACUUUGUGUCUUGGAAUUCCAGUCUAUUCAAAUGGCCACCAGAUGCACACCAGUAUGUACACCUUCCAGAUGGUGCAGGCCAGAGGGAAUAUUCUUAGUGGUCAUAAAGCCAAACUCUCAGGACAUAGAAGAAGACAAAGGAAAAACUCAUCAGACCCAUGGUUUUUCCCUUUAUGACAAACAACACAAAAGACAGAGACAAAAGAAAACAAUGACCAUCUCUGGGAGAAAGGAUCGAUAGAAGACGAGAGUCCUCGUUACCAAAUCUUCACCAGAGUCGCUCUACACAAAGAAAGAAAUCCACAGGUGUUUUCUCCUGUCAGUCUAAAUUUUAAAAAAGGACUCUCACCACUCUCACUUCCAGCAGACCCCUCAGACAGAAGUCCAGGAGACUGACACGAUAAGAAUUCCCAGCUUCUAUCAGUGCUUGUCAGAAUUCCCAAGAUCUCAGUGGCAGCAGCCCUGGGGCAAGCCCUGUCCAGCUAGUGAAAUCUCCUGGCUGCCUCACCAACGCUGUAGGGGAAAAAAUAAAUUUCCAUCUACCUUUCUAGAUUCUUGGCUGAGACACACCCUGUAAUAAAAGAUUAACAGGAAAAAAAUAAAUUUAAUUUAAUUUAGUAUGUACAUGGGCCCCAAAAUUAUGACACCAAAAGUAGGGACCAAAGCAGGCAGCUUUUAUACCUUUCGGAGAAAGAAUACAUUUAUAAAGAACUAACAGGACAAAGGACGCCUCUACCCUCCAGGUGCUGGGAGGGUACCGUUCACAUAGGGACUUUAUUUCUUGCUUUCAGGGGGACAG
Leptonychotes weddellii (Weddell seal) is the source of this 2246-nucleotide non-coding RNA. The record is from RefSeq and is a predicted model, not a curated record. NCBI's taxonomy places the organism in Eukaryota, Metazoa, Chordata, Mammalia, Carnivora, Phocidae.